This 2334-nucleotide ribosomal RNA is filed under the name Triticum aestivum (bread wheat). RNAcentral describes it as "partial small subunit ribosomal RNA". The record is from RNAcentral. Lineage: Eukaryota; Viridiplantae; Streptophyta; Magnoliopsida; Poales; Poaceae.
AUGUCGACGCAGGCGAACUCGUAUGCCUGGAGCACAAUCAUGCCCUCGGGAACAAACAUCUCGAGCCCGGCCUCUGGGUUGGGCGGCAGCUCCACUUGUCCCACUCAAAGGCUCCCUAGACAAUGGCCUCUAGGUCGUCGGGCACCACCAUUAACAAGCUGGAAGAGGCGGUUCUUGCCACCUCCAUUGCUCCUCCCAUCGGCCACCGCCACCACCUUUGCUCGUCCAGCCGAUGCGGCCACCGCUGCGCGGAACAAUGCAGGCGAUAUUGAUCACACUGGUGUUGUGCGAGGCCAACACAUAGUUGUUGCUGGUGGCUCGGGAGAUGGAGGCGGUUUCCCCGGCGCCGCCCCUCUCCAUCAUCCCUCCCUCCCUUGCCGUCACCCGAGGCGGUCGCCGGGCAGCGCCUGUGCGGCUGCCGAUGACGGUGGCGGCGAGGUCUCCGUCGCUUCUCUCUCGAGAAUGACCCGGAUCCAGGGCGGCGGCCCUUGGCGGCGAGGCGGCGCCGUCUCCGGCUGGCGGCGUGCGCGGGAGGUGCGGGCCGGCUUCCUCGGCUGCUCGGGCAGCGAGGAGCAGGCGGAUUGCGGCCAUGGGGCGGCGAGGUCAUCCUUCCUCCGCUCCAGAUCUGAAGGUCAGGCUCCCCUCUCCGCUCUCUGCCUCCGCUGGCUCGUUCGAUUUGGGGCCUCUGGCCGAUGGAUCCGGUGCCGGCGGGCACGGCGGCGGCGGCGCCUUUUGGCAUCGUUCUACUCCCUGGAGUCGCCGUUGUGGGCUCCCCUCCACACCCCGGCCAAUGUUCCCAGGCGAAAGCUCGAAUCCCUGCUGGAUGGGCGACGGCGGCGGCGGCGCCAGGUACGUCGUGUCCUCCUUGGAGGCGCCGCCUGGGGAAGAUUGGUGCUUUGGGGUUGCGUGCAGCAGCUUGUAGGUGGGCGACUGGUGUCUAUCGAGUCCCUGUGGCUCGGUAGCUCCUUCACUUCGGCAACUCUUCCGACGGCUUACCCUCUACGAUUGGCCGCCUUUGGUGUCUGCGGUGUUGCUGUUGUGUGUGUGCUCCGACUUGUGGUCGUGCUCCGUGGCAGGCCCAGUCUCGAGACCAACCAUUGCUCAAGCUCUCGGGUGAGCGUCUCUUCAUUCGACGAUGCGGCGCCUUCGAGCCUAGGCGAGGGGAAGGGAUCCCCUUCGAUGUUAGAGAGGGCAAGUGUUGGGUCAUCUCAUCUGCUGGUUUCCAGUCCUGUGUUCAAUUCCUCUGCCGGUGCUGUGGUUUCCAGUCUUGUGUUCAAUUCCUCUGCCGUUCCGAUGCAAGAUUGGCCGAAACCAGAUAUAAAACGCUGGCAGGGGACGUCCACAUGUGUGCUACCUGAUGAGCUUGUGGUGGACAUUCUGUCUCGACUGCCGCUGAAGUCCAUUUGCCGCUUCAAAUGUGUCUGCAAGUAUUGUCUUGCCUUCUCAUCUCAUCCAUACUACAGCCAGAGGUUCUCCCAAGAACUCCCACUGGUCUCUUGUACUAGAAACGUGGGCAUGGCAGGCUUCCCCGAUCUCUUGGCAUUCCCAUACAUCCUGCAAGAUUUCCUUCAAGAUUGCAGCAAUGGCCUACUUCUUUGUUAUGAGGGAGGUGCUGCACACUUUAAAGAAAUUUCCGAUGUGAUUGUGCGCAAUCCAGCAACUCAAGAGUGGAUGGCAUUUCCGGAUACUGAACCUGGACCAUCCGUCUUUUUUGCUCAUCUCAAGUUGUGUUUUGAUCCAUUAUGGUCUCAACACUUCUAUGUCUUCAAAUUUGAGUCGAGCGUGGUCCUGAGCCCUCAUAUUGAAACCUCCACUGAAGUAAAUGUGUUUUUCUCUGAGGAUUCCACAUGGUCUAGUUGUCUUUGGGAAGCUGGAGAUGCAUUUGAUGGUGAUUCUCUCUUUGUAAAUGGGGUGUUGUAUGUGAAGCACGUAUGGGCUCAUGCAAUUCUGGCACUUGACGCACUUGACAGAUGUACACAGUGGCUCGAUCAUAGGAUCAUUCAGCUGCCAGGAUAUCCAAAUAGGUCCAAAAUGACUUUAUGUUUGAAUGGAUGUAUUGGCCAGUCUUCAGGCGUCUUAUGCUACACGAAACAAGAAUUCGAUGGAUGCGCAAUACGGAUUUAUAGUUUGCAAGUCCCUAACGGGUGUGCGGUGAAGUAUCGUGCCAGCCUCUCCAGGGAGAUGGGGGCAAAUACCCCUAACGUGUCCGGCACACCGCGCCCCGUCCAGGAUCGUAACGAGUGCGUCCACCACAAGGUUGAAGAGGAAGGGGAGAUGGGGUCGCCCUGUCGGACACCCUGCCUGUGGGGAAGAAUGGACCCACAUCCCCAUUAA